GACGAACGCUGGCGGCGUGCUUAACACAUGCAAGUCGAACGGAAAGGCCCUUCGGGGUACUCGAGUGGCGAACGGGUGAGUAACACGUGGGUGAUCUGCCCUGCACUUUGGGAUAAGCCUGGGAAACUGGGUCUAAUACCGAAUAGGACCACGCGCUUCAUGGUGUGUGGUGGAAAGCUUUUGCGGUGUGGGAUGGGCCCGCGGCCUAUCAGCUUGUUGGUGGGGUAAUGGCCUACCAAGGCGACGACGGGUAGCCGGCCUGAGAGGGUGACCGGCCACACUGGGACUGAGAUACGGCCCAGACUCCUACGGGAGGCAGCAGUGGGGAAUAUUGCACAAUGGGCGCAAGCCUGAUGCAGCGACGCCGCGUGAGGGAUGACGGCCUUCGGGUUGUAAACCUCUUUCAAUAGGGACGAAGCGUGAGUGACGGUACCUAUAGAAGAAGCACCGGCCAACUACGUGCCAGCAGCCGCGGUAAUACGUAGGGUGCGAGCGUUGUCCGGAAUUACUGGGCGUAAAGAGCUCGUAGGUGGUUUGUCGCGUUGUUCGUGAAAACUCACAGCUUAACUGUGGGCGUGCGGGCGAUACGGGCAGACUAGAGUACUGCAGGGGAGACUGGAAUUCCUGGUGUAGCGGUGGAAUGCGCAGAUAUCAGGAGGAACACCGGUGGCGAAGGCGGGUCUCUGGGCAGUAACUGACGCUGAGGAGCGAAAGCGUGGGGAGCGAACAGGAUUAGAUACCCUGGUAGUCCACGCCGUAAACGGUGGGUACUAGGUGUGGGUUCCUUCCUUGGGAUCCGUGCCGUAGCUAACGCAUUAAGUACCCCGCCUGGGGAGUACGGCCGCAAGGCUAAAACUCAAAGGAAUUGACGGGGGCCCGCACAAGCGGCGGAGCAUGUGGAUUAAUUCGAUGCAACGCGAAGAACCUUACCUGGGUUUGACAUGCACAGGACGCCGGCAGAGAUGUCGGUUCCCUUGUGGCCUGUGUGCAGGUGGUGCAUGGCUGUCGUCAGCUCGUGUCGUGAGAUGUUGGGUUAAGUCCCGCAACGAGCGCAACCCUUGUCCUAUGUUGCCAGCGGGUUAUGCCGGGGACUCGUAGGAGACUGCCGGGGUCAACUCGGAGGAAGGUGGGGAUGACGUCAAGUCAUCAUGCCCCUUAUGUCCAGGGCUUCACACAUGCUACAAUGGCCGGUACAAAGGGCUGCGAUGCCGUGAGGUGGAGCGAAUCCUUUCAAAGCCGGUCUCAGUUCGGAUCGGGGUCUGCAACUCGACCCCGUGAAGUCGGAGUCGCUAGUAAUCGCAGAUCAGCAACGCUGCGGUGAAUACGUCCCCGGGCCU
This 1337-nucleotide ribosomal RNA is filed under the name uncultured bacterium. RNAcentral describes it as "bacterial SSU rRNA". It matches the Rfam family "Bacterial small subunit ribosomal RNA", at positions 28 to 1381 of the family's 1533-position model. The record is from RNAcentral.